Long non-coding RNA from Anguilla rostrata (American eel), 4822 nucleotides. RefSeq lists it as uncharacterized. NCBI's taxonomy places the organism in Eukaryota, Metazoa, Chordata, Actinopteri, Anguilliformes, Anguillidae. The transcript is spliced from 5 exons. The record is from RefSeq and is a predicted model, not a curated record.
GACCUAGGCAACCCUCCACACUCAAUUCCAUCAGCAAUAACAGAGAAGACCACAAAGAGAAAGAAAAUGGAUAAAGAAACGCACUAAGAAAGAAUAUGGAGAGUGAAAAUGAGAGGCAGGAUCUUGCAGCCUUCAUUGGGUCAGCAUUGCCGAAUUUAAGCACAAAUGAAGUUCUCCUAGAUGCUUUAAAGACAUUGGGUGUGGAGGGCCUGGAAGACUUUAAAUAUGUAAAUGGAGAAGAUCUUCUGCAUGUCCUGAAGCCUGUUGAAGCAAGGAAGCUAAUAGCCCACUUUAAAGUAAAAUGUGAAGAAUCCAGUUUCCCUACACCAUCCACACCAAAAAGUGUGCCUGCCAGUCCAAGGUCUUAUGUAGAGGAAUCACCUGGAAUGAUUUCUGCGGUUCCAAGACCGGCAUCCAAGGUCACCAGUGGCUGGAUCCUCAGAGUCAAAUUCGAGUGCUUGCUCCACACCACAUAGACCAGCAACAGGGGAUAAUGAUUGGCAUUUCAGUUUUUCUGUGCCAUGGCACAGGAUGGCACCAGAGGUCUUACUAAAGCUGGAGCAUCAAGUGUGCCCAACUGCUGGGGAGGAGCAGGAAAUAAUUAGAAUUCUUGUCAGUGAAAUUCUUACCUGCUGUGCCAACCCUGGAAAAAAAACAUUUGAACGAAGUAGGCAGGCAGAUGGUUCUUAAAUACCCCAAGUCUUUUAAGGAUGUGAUGGAGGACCGGGUAAUCAGAAGUGGCUAUGAUUCCCUUGUCAAGCAAAUACAGUGCAGAAUCAACAAUCUAAAAAGAACAAGCACUCCCAUAUCAAGAAGAAAAGCCAGUAGCAGUCCACCUGAAGAACCAGCCACAAAAAGAGUUUGCCAUGACAGCUAUGACUGUAUCAACUGGCAACCAAGAAGGCUGUUAGCCAAUGAAAUGGAGUCACUAAAAAAGCUGCAAGAGGAACUGUAUAGGAUGUUCCAUAACCAGAGUAAAGAUCAGAGCAAGAUUAAUAAGUUCAUGAAGGAAACAUUUUCCACCCAGAGACAACACAUCCUAGAAGGAAUGGAAACCAGCGACCUGCUGGAAGCAUGACUGAAUCUUUUUGACAUAAAGGGAAUAGAAGAACAUUUUACACAGUUGACAGGUGUUGACCUUGAUGAUGCAUUUAAUCAGGCCAUGUCUGCUAAAUUUGAAAGAAUAGCGACCUACCUAAAAUCUCUUCUGGACAAAAUUCAACAAAGAAAGCUGGACAAUGUGAUCAACAGCACAAGCAUACCGGCUGCUGUAAUGUUGUUGCUUUGGUUUUUCAACAAGGAUGACAAACAAAUGUUUUUUUUUCCCACGGCACGCAGGAACUAGCGCCGUGGGCUAUGCGUGGCAAAUUGUGGUCACUCACUCACUCUCUCACUCACUCACGGACAACCUUUGAGGGAGGUUUGGUGGGACGCAUGCGCAGGUGGUGCUUCGUUUAGUAAGACGCAUGCGCAGGUGGUACGGCACUACAUUUUUAAGCACAGCUUUAUCGCCUAACAUUACUUUAGCUAACCCUAACAUGUUCGCGUUUCGUCUACUUUAACUAACCUAGUUAGCACAUACGGAUGCUAUCCUGCAGUAGGAGCUAAAGACACACAACUACAACCACCGAUACAGAUGUAUGGACACAUGGAGGACAACAAAUACAGGUCAUGACGUGCCAUAGCUAGCUAGCUAUAUAGUACGGAGGGCAAAACGGAGCUUUAGAAUGUCACCAGCAGUGUAUGCGCGAGUUUGACAACACAUUUCUCAUAGAAAAGGUAGAUUGUAACUUUUUUUUUAGUUCAUCACAGUGGUGGUACAAGUGACAAGAAGUAAGUGGUACUGUGCUGUUAGCCUUUAUUGAUCGCUGUACAAGGUUCAUGUAAAGAAGCUAGCACAAUCUGACAGCACUAACCCAUAAAAAUGUACUGUGAAUGGUACUUGCUCAAUCGAACAGUAAAUGUGAAAAACAUUCGAUUACAGUCAGCGGCACCAAAAUUUUCUGUCACACCCUCAAUAAACGGAAAAACUCCCAGUAGAAGAUUGAAUUAAAUCUUUUAACGUUAUAUAUUUUCUGAAACGUUAUUGAUUUCGCUUGGCCACAGUGAAUUAAACUAGGCGAUCUGAGCGUAUAGUUUCAAUGUAACUUACGUCAAAAGGAUUCAGCCUUGUUGUUUGCUACCUAAACUUCACAGCACAGUCAUUACCGUUAUCAUGAUUGUAGCAUAAAGUGUCUAUUUUCAACCAACUGCCACAUAUGAGCGCAUAAAAUCAACCAAAAAAUAUAGUUCACCAAGUUGCGCCGUGGGUCUGGACGGUUUUGUGCUUGUUUAUGUUGACAACACUUGUCUGCCCUCUGAGGUGAACCUGGAAAUGCUAACUACCAUGCCUUCCAUUGUGGUUUGCAGUAAGUAACAACAUUUAUUUGUUAUGAUGACAUGCUUGUAUUAACAUUCUGUCACUUAAAGUGCAUGUAUUUAUUUUAUUGUAUAACAAAACUGGACCACAUUGCUUGUGUCGUUUGCACACAGGCACCAGUCCCCUGACAGCGUCAGCCUUCAUGAUCACUGUGAAAAGUAAUCAUCAAUAGAAAUGUCUCCAGUUUUUGCGAGGCACUGAUAAUAAUGUUCACGGCUUACUACUGUCUAAACAUCAACUACCCAAUGGAGUUGGCUGCAACCUUUUUUUUUAGGUGCAUCUUCAAGGUAAACCCGGACAAGGUGUCAAAGGUCGAGGAUAAAGGAAAGAAAAAGACCUACUCCCUGAACCCAAAAGUCCUGGCUCUGAUUUCUAGCAUUUCAGAUUUUGAGUGGAGGUAGACUUCUCCAAUGAAGUGACACCCUUGCUUCUGAAAUCUAGGUCAUUGCAGCUUCCAAAAUUUGUUAUGCUUUGGUGGUUUGGUCAACCUGUUUUUUAAAAAUAUAUUCAUAUGUUUCUCUUUUACAUCUGAGUAUUAUUUCAUACAAUAAAUCUUGACGAGAGCAAGAUACAACUGACAGGACAUUAAAAAGAGUUGGGAUCACAACUGAAUAAAACUUUUCUCGGUCUCGUCCUAAGUUCACUGUGCUCUCAUGAUACAGAUUUGCCUUUUGGGGGCAUCAGAGUACUUCAGCACAUCCCUCAUAAUGUUGUCUAUGGGUCCAGAGUUUUGAUUUAGUCGCUUUAGUACUAUUGAAACUAAAGAUUAUACAGGAUGCAAGGCUACCAUCUACUUUAUGAUAGGUUACUGGUAAGUGGGACAAUUUUGAGGAACGUUUUCACAGAGGAAAAAACAUUAUUACCAUUAAUACCAGUUCCUUGACCUCUCAGGUCAAAUUGCUGAACAAGAGCAUGUUCAUUAAAAUCACUUGGUGCUCUCCUUUACAACCAUACAGAACUUCCAGCUCAGUAUGGUUUAGAGGUUAAAUAAUGCAGUUAUGUACAAAUAUGUAUACUUUUAGAAAAUGUUAUGUUUCCCUUUGUCCUGCUUCUUAUGACCGCCCUGCACAAAAUGGGAUGAUCCACAAUGGUCUAAACUUGUGGAUCAUAUGUGAAUAAAAAUAUCCUUUUUAUUCACAUAUGAUUUUGGGAUAAGGUAUACCAAUCCGGUCAAUUUAGGGAAUUAUGCUUGACCUUACUUCUCAUGAUGACCUUUGAUGACCUCUAGGGAAAUAACACCGAGAAACACACUCACACAAUUUUUGGAAUGUAAAGCGGAUCUUUUUAGCCAUUUUUAUGAGUAAGGUUUUGCAAACAAUUUUUUUAGCUAUUUAAAUGUUGCAAGCUAUCAGAUCUGUUAAAUACAUAACAGGAAAAAAUAUUACAAUGGAAUAUGUAUAAUAUAUUCGAAUGGCAGGUAUGCCAUCCCUCUAGUUACGCCUUGGUGUGGCGGCAUGCCCCAUACCUGUACAGCACUGAGUGUCUGGAACCUUUCUGGGUUUCCCACAGAAAUAACCACAAUGACCACAGACUCUCAGCCCACAUUAACUUCUGUACCUUCAUGUCAACAGACAGUUCACAAAUAACUUCCUCGCAAUAAACCUAGGGGAUUUAUGCUUGGGUAUGUGUGGCUGCCAUAGGUACUGGCUCACUUGUCUUCACUGAUGAUGUGACUGCUGAUAGCAGCAUGUUAUGAAAGGAGGUGUACAUAAGUAUCUUGUCUACUCAAGCUCAAGCAUAUGCCUCAAAACUCAUUGGAUGGCACUUCAUCCUACAGCAAGAAAGUGAUCCAAAUAUACUGCAAAAGCAACAAAGGAGCCAAAAACUGGGAAGUUCCUGUCAUUUACCCAAUCUGAAUUCAAAUGAACAAAUGUUUCAUAUUCUGAAGAGAAAACUUAAGACAACUAGCCCCUGAAACAAGCUGAACCUAUAGGUGGUUGCAGUACAGGCCUGGCACUGGAUCACCAGAGAAGAUACUCAGCACCUGGUGAUGUCUAUGGGUCACAGUCUUUAAGCAAUUGCAUGUGGAGGAUAUGCCACAGGGCACUAAACUUGACUACUGGCAGUCCCCGGGUUAAGAACGUCCGACUUACGGACAACUCGUACUUACGAACGGACUGCCAUACAGCCUAUUAUAUAAAAAAUUUGAGUUAAAUACAAUGGUUCAUACUAAUGAACGCACGCACUACUUUGCAACGCUCAUGAAAACAUUGCAUUAGUGUAUUUGGAAGUGUUUCUUAAGUGUUUUAUAUGCAUAGAAAGGUAGAAUAUAUACUAUAUACUAAGACAAGCAUUUGACUAACUGACGCUAAAUAAGAACCGUAUAUACCUGUUCCGACUUACCUACAAAUUCGACUUAAAGACAGAUUUAGGAACGGAUCUCGUUUGUAACCCGGGGACUGC